This 107-nucleotide small nuclear RNA is filed under the name Lynx canadensis (Canada lynx). Lineage: Eukaryota; Metazoa; Chordata; Mammalia; Carnivora; Felidae. RNAcentral also lists the same sequence under 1 other name. The record is from RNAcentral.
GUGCUCACUUCAGCAGCACAUAUACUAAAACUGGAACGAUACAGAGAAGACUGGCCUGGACCUUGUGCAAGGAUGAUACACAAAUUCAUGAAGCGUUCCAUGUUUUU